RNAcentral lists this ribosomal RNA (253 nucleotides) under uncultured bacterium. RNAcentral describes it as "partial 16S ribosomal RNA". It matches the Rfam family "Bacterial small subunit ribosomal RNA", at positions 524 to 776 of the family's 1533-position model. The record is from RNAcentral.
UACGUAGGGUGCAAGCGUUAAUCGGAAUUACUGGGCGUAAAGCGUACGUAGGCGGUUUGUUAAGUCGGAUGUGAAAUCCCCGGGCUCAACCUGGGUGCUGCAUUCGAUACUGGCAGACUUGAAUACGGUAGAGGGGGGUGGAAUUCCAGGUGUAGCGGUGAAAUGCGUAGAGAUCUGGAGGAACACCAGUGGCGAAGGCGGCCCCCUGGACCGAUAUUGACGCUGAGGUACGAAAGCGUGGGGAGCAAACAGG